RNAcentral lists this ribosomal RNA (1452 nucleotides) under uncultured Bordetella sp. Its description in RNAcentral is "partial 16S-23S ribosomal RNA intergenic spacer". It matches the Rfam family "Bacterial small subunit ribosomal RNA". Lineage: Bacteria; Pseudomonadati; Pseudomonadota; Betaproteobacteria; Burkholderiales; Alcaligenaceae. The record is from RNAcentral.
GUUCGAUCUGGCUCAGACGCUGGCGGAUGCUUACCGCAUGCAAGUCGAACGGCAGCACGGACUUCGGUCUGGUGGCGAGUGGCGAGCAGUGUAAUGUAUCGGAACGAUUACUGCCUGGUAGCGAGGAUAACUACGCGAAAGCGUAGCCUAAUACCAUACGCCCUUCAGGGGAAAGCGAGGGACCUUCGGGCCUCGCACUAUUAGAAACGGCCGAUAUCAGCGGAUUAGCUAGUUGGUGGGGUAACGGCUCACCAAGGCGACGAUCCCGUAGCGCUGGUUUGAGGAUGUCGCCACUGGGACUGAGACACGGCGGCCCAGACUCCUGGGGAGGCGGCAGUGGGAAUUUUGGACAAUGGAAACCUGAUCCAGCCAUCCCCGCGUGCGAUGAAGGCGCUGGUUGUAAAGCACUUUUGGCAGGAAAAGCUUGGCACGGGAUAAUACCCGUGCAACUGACGUACCUGCAGAAUAGCACAGAAAGCUAACUACGUGCCAGCAGCCGCGUACGUAGGGUGCAAGCGUUAAUCGAAUUACUGAGGCGUAUAAAGCGUGCGCAGGCGGUUCUGAAGAAAGAUGUGAAAUCCCAGAGCUUAACUUUGGAACUGCAUUUUCUAAUACCGAGCUGGGGAGAUAUUGUCAGGAGAAUUCCGCUAACAGUGAAAUGCGUAGAUAUGCGGAGGAACACCGAUGGCGAAAACGCAGCUCUGGAUACUACUGACGCUCAGUAUUACACGAAAGCGUGGGGAGCAAACAGGAUUAGAUACCUGGUAGUCCACGCGCCCUAAACGAUGUCAACUAGCUGUUGGGGCCUUCGGGCCUUGGUAGCGCAAUAACGUGAAAGUUGACCGCCGCAAAUACAGUCGCAAGAUUAAAAACUCAAAGAAUUGGGCAGGGACCCGCACAAGCGGAAAUUGGAUGAUGGAUUAAUUCGGUGGCAUGAAAAACACACACUUGACAUAUGUCUGGAAUCCCGAAGAGAUUUGGGAGUCUACCUUGAAGGGAACAGGCACAGGUGCUGCAUGGCUGUCGUCAGCUCGUGUCGUGAGAUGUUGGGUUAAGUCCGCAACGAGCGCAACCCUUGUCAUUAGUUGCCACGAAGGGCACUCACAAUGGGACUGCCGGUGACAAACCGGGGAAGAUUAGGGAUGACGUCAAGUCCUCAUGGCCCUUAUGGGUAGGGCUUCACACGUCAUACAAUGGUCGGGACAGAGAGGUCGCCAACCCGCGAGGAGCCAAUCCAGAAACCCGAUCGUAGUCGGAUCGCAGUCUGCAACUCGACUGCGUGAAGUCGAAGUCGCUAGUAAUCAUGUCAGCAUGUCGCGGUGAAUACGUUCCCGGGUCUUGUACUGCACCGCCCGUCACACCAUGGAAUUGGGUUUUGCAAGUAGUUAGCCUAACCGUAAGGAGGGCGAUUACCACAGGAUUCAUGACUGGGGGUGAAGUCGUAACAGGUAG